This 418-nucleotide long non-coding RNA is filed under the name Homo sapiens (human). RNAcentral's name for it is "HSALNT0190888". Lineage: Eukaryota; Metazoa; Chordata; Mammalia; Primates; Hominidae. The record is from RNAcentral.
UCCAGCAUUUUUGUAACAUUACAUUGCAUUUUGUAACAUUGCUGAGCCCCUCUUUGAGUAAUUGGCAGAAAAGGCUGAGUCCUCAUAGAAUUGUGUGCUAUUUCUAAAACAUAUCCAUGGUUUAAAAAGCUUUAAGAUCUAUAAACUAAAAUCCACCCAUUUUGCAGGAUGAUUCACAGUGUCGACAGUUUGGAUCAAUUUCCUGAAGAAAGGACAAAACUGGAAGCUAUUCUUUAUGUAGAGAAGAGAAUUCCAACCAGUGAGAUGAGAAUUGCACAAAUCCUGCAGCCCAUCUCUGCCACAGCUCAAAGUUGUUGGGUAAGUAAUGACCCAGACCAUUGAAGAAAAUGAGGAAACUGUGCACACAGACUGAUGUCUUAUGUGACCAACAUGCAUAUAAGAAAUGGAAGCUUCCCCC